This 1057-nucleotide ribosomal RNA is filed under the name uncultured bacterium. RNAcentral describes it as "bacterial SSU rRNA". It matches the Rfam family "Bacterial small subunit ribosomal RNA", at positions 8 to 1033 of the family's 1533-position model. The record is from RNAcentral.
AGAGUUUGAUCCUGGCUCAGGACGAACGCUGGCGGCGUGCCUAAUACAUGCAAGUCGAACGAAACUUUCUUACACCGAAUGCUUGCAUUCACCGUAAGAAGUUGAGUGGCGGACGGGUGAGUAACACGUGGGUAGCCUGCCUAAAAGAAGGGGAUAACACUUGGAAACAGGUGCUAAUAUCGUAUAUCUCUAAGGAUCGCAUGAUCCUUAGAUGAAAGAUGGUUCUGCUGUCGCUUUUAGAUGGACCCGCGGCGUAUUAACUAGUUGGUGGGGUAACGGCCUACCAAGGUGAUGAUACGUAGCCGAACUGAGAGGUUGAUCGGCCACAUUGGGACUGAGACACGGCCCAAACUCCUACGGGAGGCAGCAGUAGGGAAUCUUCCACAAUGGACGCAAGUCUGAUGGAGCAACGCCGCGUGAGUGAAGAAGGUCUUCGGAUCGUAAAACUCUGUUGUUAGAGAAGAACACGAGUGAGAGUAACUGUUCAUUCGAUGACGGUAUCUAACCAGCAAGUCACGGCUAACUACGUGCCAGCAGCCGCGGUAAUACGUAGGUGGCAAGCGUUGUCCGGAUUUAUUGGGCGUAAAGGGAACGCAGGCGGUCUUUUAAGUCUGAUGUGAAAGCCUUCGGCUUAACCGGAGUAGUGCAUUGGAAACUGGAAGACUUGAGUGCAGAAGAGGAGAGUGGAACUCCAUGUGUAGCGGUGAAAUGCGUAGAUAUAUGGAAGAACACCAGUGGCGAAAGCGGCUCUCUGGUCUGUAACUGACGCUGAGGUUCGAAAGCGUGGGUAGCAAACAGGAUUAGAUACCCUGUAGUCCACGCCGUAACGAUGAUGCUAGUGUCGGAGGUUUCCGCCCUUCAGUGCCGCAGCUAACGCAAUAAGCAUUCCGCCUGGGGAGUACGACCGCAAGGUUGAAACUCAAAGGAAUUGACGGGGCCCGCACAAGCGGUGGAGCAUGUUGUUAAUUCUAAGCACGCGAGAAACCUAACUAGGUCCUUGACAUCCCUUUGUAUCCACCCUACAGAAAUAAAGCUUUCCCUUCCUGGACCACUGUAG